RNAcentral lists this long non-coding RNA (1228 nucleotides) under Homo sapiens (human). RNAcentral describes it as "HSALNT0334530". Lineage: Eukaryota; Metazoa; Chordata; Mammalia; Primates; Hominidae. The record is from RNAcentral.
ACUCACUUAACUUUCCCUGAGCUUCAUGAGCUCUGCCUUCCAGUUUAAGCCCUGGAAAUACAUAACGAAGCACAAAAGCCAGCUUUGCUUUAUGAGCUCCAUGGAAAAGACACACAAUAAAAUGGUCAUAUUUUAAUGUGAAAAAUGUUAAUGACAAGUAAAGCCAAGUGUGUCAAGGGGACAUAGUAAAGGGGCCUAAUGUGGCUUGGAGAGUCAGGGAGGGCUCGUGCUUUGUACAACGGCUUUGUAUCUAAACUCUCAUACAAAGGGUGAGAAGUUGGCCAGGCAAAGAUGGGGAAUUUGUGGAAGGGGUCAUGAAAGAUUUGAGGGCUGGAAGAAAUUUCACUCUGGCUAGGGCAUAGAGCGCGAACUAGGUUCUCAGACCCGAAGCCAGAGGAAUGAGUAGAAACUACAUCACGGGACCUUGGAAACCAACGUUAAGAAGCUGCCAAAGCACCUUGAGGAGAAAGACUUGAUUAGUAUUAUAUUGAAACAUGAAUUAUUUGGGAAAUGUCAAGGUGUCUGAAAAGUGGAAUGAGUUAAAAUUGAGGAAGGAAGCAUUCUAGGUAAGUUUUUAUUAAAACUACUGUGGUCUUAAUGAUUAUACAUAUGUAUUUCUUAAGACAUUGUGUUGAGAAUGGUAUUUUUUUUCAGCUUAAGUUUAAUGAGCUUUGUGGUUGUUUUACAGAGCAAAGAUAGCCUACUGCACUGAAAUGUAGUAUUAUUAAAUGUUUCUACUUCCAGUCCUUCAGAAGACCCAACCAGGUCUUUUCAUUCCUGCUCCCAUAGUCUGUAAAUCCUAAACUUGCUGCUUGCUGCUUGUCAGUAAAAUGUUGCAUAUAAUUUAGUUAGAUUUCAUGUUUUUGUUUCUUUAAUUUACAAGGUAAGUGUGAUAAGUGUACUGAAGACUUCAAAGCUCAGAAAAAUAUUUAAAAGCAGAUAUAUUGACCAGGUGCAGUGGGUCACCCCUGUAAUCCCAGUACUUUGGGAGGCUGAGGCAGGUGGAUCACCUGAGGUCAGGAGUUUGAGACCAGCCUGGCCAACAUGGUAAAACCCUGUCUCUACUAAAAGUACAAAAUUAGCCAGGCAUGGUGGUAUGCACCUGUAAUCCCAGGUAUUCCAGAGGCUGAGGCAGGAGAAUCACUUAGAACCUGGGAGGCGGAGGUUGCAGUGAGCCAAGAUCGCGCCACGGCACUCCAGCCUGGGUGACACAGGGAGACUCUGUCUC